Molecule: ribosomal RNA, 129 nt
Filed under: Rhodopseudomonas palustris
Lineage: Bacteria; Pseudomonadati; Pseudomonadota; Alphaproteobacteria; Hyphomicrobiales; Nitrobacteraceae
Description: partial 16S ribosomal RNA
Rfam family: Bacterial small subunit ribosomal RNA
Source: RNAcentral
AUAUUCGCAAGAACACCAGUGGCGAAGGCGGCUCACUGGGCCAUUACUGACGCUGAGGCACGAAAGCGUGGGGAGCAAACAGGAUUAGAUACCCUGGUAGCCCACGCCGUAAACGAUGAAUGCCAGCCG